UACGUAGGGAGCGAGCGUUAUCCGGAAUUAUUGGGUGUAAAGGGUGCGUAGACGGGAAAGCAAGUUAGUUGUGAAAUCCCUCGGCUUAACUGAGGAACUGCAACUAAAACUACUUUUCUUGAGUGCAGGAGAGGUAAGUGGAAUUCCUAGUGUAGCGGUGAAAUGCGUAGAUAUUAGGAGGAACACCAGUGGCGAAGGCGACUUACUGGACUGUAACUGACGUUGAGGCACGAAAGUGUGGGGAGCAAACAGG
RNAcentral lists this ribosomal RNA (253 nucleotides) under uncultured bacterium. RNAcentral's name for it is "partial 16S ribosomal RNA". It matches the Rfam family "Bacterial small subunit ribosomal RNA", at positions 524 to 776 of the family's 1533-position model. The record is from RNAcentral.